GGAUUAGCUAGUUGGUGGGGUAAAGGCCUACCAAGGCGACGAUCUGUAGCGGGUCUGAGAGGAUGAUCCGCCACACUGGGACUGAGACACGGCCCAGACUCCUACGGGAGGCAGCAGUGGGGAAUAUUGGACAAUGGGGGGAACCCUGAUCCAGCCAUGCCGCGUGUGUGAAGAAGGCCUUAUGGUUGUAAAGCACUUUAAGCGAGGAGGAGGCUACUGAGACUAAUACUCUUGGAUAGUGGACGUUACUCGCAGAAUAAGCACCGGCUAACUCUGUGCCAGCAGCCGCGGUAAUACAGAGGGUGCGAGCGUUAAUCGGAUUUACUGGGCGUAAAGCGUGCGUAGGCGGCUUUUUAAGUCGGAUGUGAAAUCCCCGAGCUUAACUUGGGAAUUGCAUUCGAUACUGGGAAGCUAGAGUAUGGGAGAGGAUGGUAGAAUUCCAGGUGUAGCGGUGAAAUGCGUAGAGAUCUGGAGGAAUACCGAUGGCGAAGGCAGCCAUCUGGCCUAAUACUGACGCUGAGGUACGAAAGCAUGGGGAGCAAACAGGAUUAGAUACCCUGGUAGUCCAUGCCGUAAACGAUGUCUACUAGCCGUUGGGGCCUUUGAGGCUUUAGUGGCGCAGCUAACGCGAUAAGUAGACCGCCUGGGGAGUACGGUCGCAAGACUAAAACUCAAAUGAAUUGACGGGGGCCCGCACAAGCGGUGGAGCAUGUGGUUUAAUUCGAUGCAACGCGAAGAACCUUACCUGGCCUUGACAUACUAGAAACUUUCCAGAGAUGGAUUGGUGCCUUCGGGAAUCUAGAUACAGGUGCUGCA
This 816-nucleotide ribosomal RNA is filed under the name Acinetobacter junii. RNAcentral describes it as "bacterial SSU rRNA". It matches the Rfam family "Bacterial small subunit ribosomal RNA", at positions 238 to 1045 of the family's 1533-position model. Lineage: Bacteria; Pseudomonadati; Pseudomonadota; Gammaproteobacteria; Moraxellales; Moraxellaceae. The record is from RNAcentral.